Molecule: non-coding RNA, 1099 nt
Organism: Camellia sinensis
Lineage: Eukaryota; Viridiplantae; Streptophyta; Magnoliopsida; Ericales; Theaceae
Source: RefSeq, a predicted model, not a curated record
AUUUUUAUUGAAACAAGUGUGCAUGUUUUUUGUUCAGUUGUUGAAUUUAGGAGUUGUGUGGCUCAUUACUCCAUACUUCUUAAUGUAACCUGGAUUCUAUUUGUUGCUGAUGUAACUCGGUUGUUAUGUUGGUGUAUUAUGCAUUUGUUGUGUUAGGAUUAUGAAUUUUUCUGUAAAUUGUAGAUCAUCCUUAUUUUGAUGCAUUUGCUCCAUUUAUGUAAAUUAUUGUGCAUUCUUUAUUUUAUACUCUGGUAUAACUACUAUGUUUGCUGUCAUAUCUGAUUAAGGCUUGACCAUCAGAAUCAUUGUUCCUCUCCAGAAUAUUGUUGGAUAUCUAGAAAAAUGUAGCUUUCUUCCAAUGCUUACUAAUGAACUCCCUCGUCAGAGGAAUUCAACUCGCAAGCAACAGGUCGGUAGGUUAAGGAACCUGUUUGAAAACAAUGCUGUGCUAGUGCCAUAGGAAACAUCCUGGUUCGGGUUUUGUCCAGAUGGGGCACUCAGACCAGUUUUGCCCCCUCAACAGACAAAGCUUUACAUUGAGGACUGGAUUGGCUUGAAGAACUUGGACAGAGCUGGGAAAGUCAAGUACAUCAGUGUGCCCUGAAAUCAUAUUAAAAUCUCCAAAAAUGAUAUGAUAAAGCAUAUCAAAGAGGGUCGACGAGGUUCAAAAGUUCAGUAAACAAAGGUUGUGGGUCGUACAAAUCAGCUGAAGUGAUAAUUGAAGGAUCAACAUCUUUAUGCAUGUUCUUUUUUUUCAUAAUUUUUUUUUGGGUUCUGCAAGGGGGUGGAUUACCACAUAUACAUUCUUCAUUUCUCUUUCAUUUAAGUUAUUAUGGGGAGUUAUUAUACACAUCAAUUUGAAAUUUUAAUUAUCUGCCUGCUGUUCAGUAGUUGUGCUUCCGUGCCUCCAGUCGGUUUAGCUCCAUGAAUUUAUUUUUUUUCUUUGAGAAACUUAUCACAGCCUGAUUUAUUUAUUUUAAUACUCUAUAUUUAGUUUCAAGGCUUUUGGGUUCUGUGUUUUUCAAAUGAACAUGUCAUUACUAUGACGCAGGUAUGAGAUAUAAUUAGAAUUUUCUUUUCAACUACCAUUUUUUUUUUU